AGAGUAUGAUCCUGGCUCAGAUUGAACGCUGGCGGCAGGCCUAACACAUGCAAGUCGAACGCGAAAAUUCCUUCGGGAAUGAGUAGAGUGGCGGACGGGUGAGUAACGCGUGGGAAUCUACCUGGUAGCGGGGGAUAACUCGGGGAAACUCGAGCUAAUACCGCAUACGCCCUACGGGGGAAAGGAGGGGAUCUUCGGACCUUUCACUAUCAGAUGAGCCCGCGUUAGAUUAGCUUGUUGGUGAGGUAAUGGCUCACCAAGGCGACGAUCUAUAGCUGGUCUGAGAGGAUGAUCAGCCACACUGGGACUGAGACACGGCCCAGACUCCUACGGGAGGCAGCAGUGGGGAAUAUUGCGCAAUGGGCGAAAGCCUGACGCAGCCAUGCCGCGUGUGUGAAGAAGGCCUUCGGGUUGUAAAGCACUUUCAAUAGGGAGGAAAACUUGUAGGUUAAUACCCUGCAAGCCUGACGUUACCUAUAGAAGAAGCACCGGCUAACUCCGUGCCAGCAGCCGCGGUAAUACGGAGGGUGCGAGCGUUAAUCGGAAUUACUGGGCGUAAAGCGCGCGUAGGCGGCUUCGUCAGUCAGAUGUGAAAGCCCC
RNAcentral lists this ribosomal RNA (600 nucleotides) under uncultured marine bacterium. RNAcentral's name for it is "bacterial SSU rRNA". It matches the Rfam family "Bacterial small subunit ribosomal RNA", at positions 8 to 604 of the family's 1533-position model. The record is from RNAcentral.